UACGGAGGGGACUAGCGUUGUUCGGAAUUACUGGGCGUAAAGCGCACGUAGGCGGAUUUGUAAGUCAGGGGUGAAAUCCCUCGGCUCAACUGAGGAACUGCCUUUGAAACUGUCGGGCUUGAGGCCGGGAGGGGGUAGCGGAAUUCCCAGUGUAGCGGUGAAAUGCGUAGAUAUUGGGAGGAACACCGGUGGCGAAGGCGGCUACCUGGACCGGUUCUGACGCUGAUGCGCGAAAGCGUGGGUAGCAAACAGG
Molecule: ribosomal RNA, 253 nt
Filed under: uncultured bacterium
Lineage: Bacteria
Description: partial 16S ribosomal RNA
Rfam family: Bacterial small subunit ribosomal RNA
Source: RNAcentral